RNAcentral lists this ribosomal RNA (497 nucleotides) under uncultured bacterium. Its description in RNAcentral is "partial 16S ribosomal RNA". It matches the Rfam family "Bacterial small subunit ribosomal RNA", at positions 28 to 507 of the family's 1533-position model. The record is from RNAcentral.
GAUGAACGCUGGCGGCGUGCCUAAUACAUGCAAGUCGAGCGAACAGACGAGGAGCUUGCUCCUCUGACGUUAGCGGCGGACGGGUGAGUAACACGUGGAUAACCUACCUAUAAGACUGGGAUAACUUCGGGAAACCGGAGCUAAUACCGGAUAAUAUAUUGAACCGCAUGGUUCAAUAGUGAAAGACGGUUUUGCUGUCACUUAUAGAUGGAUCCGCGCCGCAUCAGCUAGUUGGUAAGGUAACGGCUUACCAAGGCAACGAGGCGUAGACGACCUGAGAGGGUGGUCGGCCACCCUGGAACUGAGACACGGUCCAUACUCCUACGGGAGGCAGCAGUAGGGAACCUGCCGCAAUGGGCGAAAGCCUGACGGAGCAGCGCCGCGUGAGUGAUGAAGGUCUUCGGAUCGUAAAACUCUGUUAUUAGGGAAGAACAAAUGUGUAAGUAACUAUGCACGUCUUGACGGUACCUAAUCAGAAAGCCACGGCUAACUACGUG